Molecule: long non-coding RNA, 663 nt
Filed under: Marmota monax (woodchuck)
Lineage: Eukaryota; Metazoa; Chordata; Mammalia; Rodentia; Sciuridae
Source: RNAcentral
AAAUGGAUCAUUUCCAUGGAAAACUCCAUCAACUUCAACAAUUUUCUUGCUAAAUAGAUAAUUACGUGAAUUUUGCUACAAAUCUGUGAGGGAGUGUAGCAGGAUGUCGCAAGCUGCGCUGUUAAUAAUUACUCAGAGGCAGAUUUUCUUUAAUGCAAGCGUAUAUUGGAUCACACCAAUCAUCAAACAUAAACAAUUAAUGCAAAAAGUGUUGGGUGUGCUGGAGCACCCCAACUAACAUUUAAUGCACACUAAUUACCAUUACAAGCAAAUCACACAAUCCUAGGGCAAUCCCAAGCUCCCUGACAGAGGUUAAGUGACUUCCCCUAGCCAAAGAGCAGACAUUGUUGUUGUUGUUGUCAUUGUCCAGUGGUUCUCUCUAGCCAAUGGUUGGACGACAGGGAAUGAUGGCGUCAUCUGAGGAUGGAUAUCAAGGUGGCCAGUCUCACUGAUGUCCUAGAAGCAGCCUCUUGAUGUGGUGGACAAGCGAUUUAAACAUAACCAAGUUGGUGAUUGGUUACACCCAGUGAAAGUCAAUGUCCAUUGGUUAUGUCCAGUGAGAUGAUGUAAUUGCAAUAGGGCAUGUUCUUUGCACAUGUCCAUGGAACUGUGCUUCCUAUCGAUUGUAACCAGUCAUUGUUAAGUAUGCCUAUGGCUAGUGAC